CCUACGGGUGGCAGCAGUGGGGAAUAUUGCGCAAUGGGCGAAAGCCUGACGCAGCGACGCCGCGUGAGGGAAGAAGGUCUUCGGAUCGUAAAGCUCUGUCAGCAGGGAAGAACGGGCACUGUGCUAAUCAGCAGGGAAUUGACGGUACCUGCAAAGGAAGCACCGGCUAACUCCGUGCCAGCAGCCGCGGUAAUACGGAGGGUGCGAGCGUUAAUCGGAAUUACUGGGCGUAAAGCGCUCGUAGGCGGUAUGUCAAGUCAAGGGUGAAAUCCCCGGGCUCAACGUGGGAACUGCCUUUGAAACUGGCAGACUGGAGUGUGUGAGAGGGUAGUAGAAUUCCAGGUGUAGGAGUGAAAUGCGUAGAGAUCUGGAGGAACAUCGGUGGCGAAGGCGACUAUCUGGCACAUGACUGACGCUGAGGUGCGAAAGCGUGGGUAGCAAACAGGAUUAGAUACCCCUGUAGUC
Molecule: ribosomal RNA, 465 nt
Filed under: uncultured bacterium
Lineage: Bacteria
Description: partial 16S ribosomal RNA
Rfam family: Bacterial small subunit ribosomal RNA
Source: RNAcentral